GACGAACGCUGGCGGCGUGCUCAACACAUGCAAGUCGAGCGGUAAGGCCCUUCGGGUACACGAGCGGCGAACGGGUGAGUAACACGUGGGUGACCUGCCUCUAGCUCUGGGAUAAGCCUGGGAAACUGGGUCUAAUACCGGAUAUGACUCCACGGCGCAUGUUGUGGGGUGGAAAGCCUUGUGUGGCUAGAGAUGGGCCCGCGGCCUAUCAGCUUGGUUGGUGGGGGG
RNAcentral lists this ribosomal RNA (228 nucleotides) under uncultured bacterium. Its description in RNAcentral is "partial 16S ribosomal RNA". It matches the Rfam family "Bacterial small subunit ribosomal RNA", at positions 28 to 259 of the family's 1533-position model. The record is from RNAcentral.